UAUGCAAGUAUAUAUAUAUAAUUAUAUGUGUAGAUAGAUAAGUAGAUAGAAGCUGAAGCAAUUUUUGUUGAAUGUAUCCUAAAUUUUUUGGUAAUCAUAGAUGAUGAUUCUGUCUCUAUAUACCCUUAAGAUGGGGGGAGGCAUCUUAAGAAGGUUAUCUAGUAUAUUGUCACUAGGCUUAACCAUUUAUCCCAGGUACAAUAGCUACAAUAUCAUAGACUCUUAGAAUUGAAAAUAACACUUUGACCCAUUUUUGCCUGUCUAAACAUUGAAUCAUCACUGCAACAUUCCAGGCAGAUUUUAAUCCAGUCUCUAUUUAACCGUAUCCAUUUCAUUUUUGAGGGAAGUUGUCCUGUGCAUCUGAAGUCCAAGUGUCUCAGUGAGGUUCAUUUUUCAAGCUCCCAGACUUCUGACCUUUUCCUCCUUUUGACUGAGAAUGUGCUGGAGAGACAACUACUAAGAUCUUGUCUUACUCUCAGAUUUUAUGAAUACCUCACUCACAAGGAAUCUAUUCAAAUUCUGCCCUGCUUUUGCCAUUAGAGGGUGUUCCUGGGGUCCAGCUGAAACUUAUCCUUCUGAAAUCCAUUCUCAGAGUCAUCUCUCUUCAUCUUCAGAGUCUCAGCAUCUGAACACUUAACGCUUCUCAGGAACACGUUCUAAAUUUUAACACUCUAUAAGAGGCAGGACUUUCUUAUUUAUGUGUAACAAUAUUCUUUUGAUGAAAGUGAAGUCAGUCUUUGGCUGUCUCCUUAAAGAAGCUAAAACAAAAGGGGCCAUCAAAUCCACUCUCUGCUGGAUUACACCAACUAUUAUGUAUGAUGGAGUGGACCCCCACCAGUAGGCAUGGAGAUCACCUGGAAUGUCCAGAUGGUUCCUCAGAAUGAGGGUUUUCAAAAGACCAUUGCUAGACAUAUGUGUCUGGUUAGAAUGUUUAACCUUUGCGGUCUUUAAUCAUGUAGUAUUAUGUGAAAUGCCACUGGCUGAAUGGUUUGAUAGAGUGUUGUCAGGCUGUAGACUUUCCAAUCUCCUGGCCACCACCAGAGGCCCUGCAGACACUGGGAAUGUGGUCCCUACCGUCUGAAUGCCUCACUAUUGGUCUGUUAGAAAAGAGGGCAGAUGGGAAUCAGCCUUCACAUUGUGUAGCAUGGUCAUAACGAGUUUAUGAUCAGAUGAUGAAUGAGAGACAGAGACAGACAAAGAGAGAUCAACCACUGGGGUGGGCAAGGCAAUAUCUGUUCCAGUUCUUCCAGGUCUCCUUUAAUUGGUGAUAAUCUCAAAGAUAUUUUCCCCUCAAAAUUAAGUUCAUGGAAAGAAGAUCCAUGGAGGAUUUUUAAUUCUCUGAGGGCAAAAAAAUCAUCUACCAUGGAAGUUCAUUAUGCUAUGUACCAGAAGUGCAGAUGAACCCACCAAGGAUGAAAAGCCCAUAGUGGCUGAUGUUAAGGGCAGCUGAAGUCGGUGGGAAGUGGUUUCACAAUAGGAGACAUUUGCAUCCUGUCCUAAUACUGACUAUUGGCUCUGUCACUUUUAGCUGGAGCAAGUAUCUGAGUGUCUCUGCACUUCAGUAUUCACAUCUGUAAAGUUGGAACAAUUUCGGGAUUGUGGUGAAAAUUAGAUAAAUAAACCAUGCAAAGAGCUUGUCGUGGUGCCCGAAACUUAGUCGACUGACAAAGCAAUGCUAUUAUUAACUCUUUAUUAGGAUUCUAGUUAUUAGAGCAUGCUUGCUAAGAGUGUUAAUAAGGCUUUAGCAGCAUAACUUGACCUAGGACCCUUCUGUGAGGGGAAUGCCUUGUCCUGUGUGGUGAUGAUUUAGGCCAUUUUAGUAUUCAUUUAUCCGACAUGAAGUUAUUCUACUUCAAAUUUUAUUUUUAAAAAAAUUGGUGACCAGAUCUCGCUCUUACACUUGUGAAGCACAUCAAGGCUUGAUGGCGACAUCUCUUGCUCCCUUUUCAGAGAACUGAUUCUAUCCAAAUAGAAGCAUCUGAGUUCUUUCUUUCAUGUAUUUGUGGUUGGGGAGGGGAGGUAGGGGGGUCAGCAUCUUUGUUGUUGUUGCUGAAGCUCUGGAAAGAGAGCAGUACAUGGAGAUGUGCUAGCCAAUUUGGCAGCGUGCUUUUUUCAGCCCGCUUGGCUGUGUACAAUAUUCUGUCUGAGUUUGGGAAGAUCUGUCUGCUUUUUUCCUUUGUAGAGAGGCUAUGAGAAAUGAGGCAAUGGAUUUGUCUUAUACAACAGCCUGGAAAAAUAGGCCAUGGCCUAACAAAUAAGAGAAGUUACAUGGCCUCAUUCCAAGGAGUUUCUGGCUGGAGAUUGGAGGACAGGUUGAGACGCCUUCUGAUAGAUUUGGUAUUAACUGCCCUCUUUCCUGAAACAAGUCCUGCUUAAAAUAAAAUGCAGGGGUGGGGGCAUGGGCAGGAGGAGGUGCGGAUCCUUACACAAUAUGGUAUCUCUUUAUCAAUAAUCAAUUUUAUGCAGAUUUAGAGUCAGGUCGAAUCCCACAUCCCAAGCUCAGCAGUAAACCCUGCAAUCCUCAUAUAGGGCAGUGAGGUGUGACAAGGGGAAGGUGUGACCUAGCCCCAGAUACUCUUCAUUUAACACUGGUUUACACCAUUUCUUUGUCAUAGAACUUCGAAUGACCAUCUAUCCCUUUUUGCUAUGCUUAUCUCCUCAAAGCACUUUGUCCUUUUAGGGCCUGCCAGUACCAGAUGACUUUUAUUUUUCUCCCAGAAUUGUCACUAGAGUUUCUCAUUCUGUACUCCCCCUCCCCCCAGCACCCCCCAACACAGACACACACACACUGCCAUUUUAAUCGCCUUUUCCAAUGAUGGCUGAGUGAUGUCUUCCCUAUCAAGCUCUCUUUGUGAUUUUGGUUUGGAAUUCAACAAACAGGAGAGGCUGGAAUAUCAUCCAUCUCCAGAGGCGUCUGAUCUGACUCAGCGUCUGCACCAGAAAUACUGCUCUGAAAAAAGAUGCGGUCCCUGCUUCACUGCGAACACCUAGAGUGUCUACGUUCAUUGUUCGCUUAACUCUUGCACUGCUUGCAAUGGGUUAUGACGGCCAUGGACCGAAUCUCUGUUUCUUCAUCCCGGAAUAAUGCUCUCCGGAGCUGCUUUCGGGAGCUGUUCACAGAUAAGAGCAAUCACGAGCCCCGCGGCGUGGCUUCCUUCUCUGUAUUCUGUGACACUCUCAUCCCAGCGACUGUGUCUGGCAGCCACACAAUGAGCCCCUGCGUGUGUCAGGGAGAUGGAUGGUAUCCGCAGUGUCUGCGUCUCUGCGCUGACGCCGCGAGCUCCCGCUGAACCUGACCUCGGGGAUGCCAGAUUCUGUGCCAUUGAAUUCUAAAGGCAAGCCACCCCCUUCCUAGAAAUGUCUUAUUUUCUCCCGACACAGAAUACUUUAAUGGAAAUAAUGACACGCAUUAGGUACUUUGAUGGAUAGCACACUGUACUUUCAUACUUGAUAUUCCUGAUUGCAGGACUCUUUGUUUUUGUCUCAUUGCUUUGUUAUUAUUUUUUUUUUCAAAGCUAAAACAAAGAGGCUACCAGUACAGGUGGUAGUUCUUUAUAAGCAUUUCACGAAGCUGUGCUUUCUUUAACUGUAUGAAAUCAGAAAAAAAAAAAUGGCAAAGGAUAUGAAUGAGCCCCCAUUUCCUUAUCAGGGAAGUAGCCAGAUAGUUUGGGGGAAGUCUGUUCUGAUCUAAAUUGACUGGGUUUGGUUUCAGCAUGAAAUCGGUGCCGAACUGUGCACAAAUGUGCCGCAGUGGGGUCUUUGGUAAUGGAUUAUCAGGAAGAUCUCAGGACUGUUGGGACCAUUCAGGCACAUCUGAGCAAAGAGGGAUUAUGUGGAAUUGGAACCAAAGGAAUAACAACAUAACCACUUCUACCAUCUGUUUUCUAAGGCCAACUUACCUGGCAUUGUCACACAAAGCCCCGCACUUAGAUAGGUAGCUUAAUUCUGUACAACUGUCAUCUUGAAAUUCUUAAUAAUUUGUGAGCAAAGAGGACCUGACGGUUUCAUUUUGUACUGGCCCAGCAAAUGAUGUCACUAGCUGUGAUGCCGGGCAUUGUUCUAUGCUUUGUCACAAAUAACAGGAUUCCUUCUCAGUUUUGACUGAGGUAUGCAACAGGACUGAUAUCAGCAUAGAUGUUAGGACACCAAAGUGAGUGGGAGGCAGCCUGACCUCCCUACAUAAAAGGCUACAUUGGAAAUGACCAUGAGAACGUGUGCCCUAUGACUUGAACCCUUCAGCCAGAUCAAGGGUCUAGAAAGAGUUUGAGGGAGAAGAUUUGAGCAGGUAUCUCUUCACAGAGAUCAAUUCCCUUGCUGUGAGCCCCUCCCUCCUCUCUGUGGUCGGGAGGAUGAGGUCUUAAGGAGGACACAAGGGACUGGUGCUUACUCGUGCCUGAGAAAGUUAGAGCAGACUAUGGCUUAGAUACAAUUCAUACCUGGAAAUCUAUGAGCUAAGACCGGUGCUAAAUAGAGGACUUAACAGAAGUGAUCUAGUUUGGUGGAACAAGGGGUGGGUGGUACACAAGAGUUGGUUGUGGAUCAUCUGGAAGAGAGCCUUCCCAUAGAACUGUCUUAGGUCUUCCUAGGUCUCUCUUGGGGUUUCUGGGGACAUGAGAAGACCCCAGAGGAAGGAUGUUCAGUGGUGAGAAGUAGCUGAGGCAGGAUUCAAGGACCUAAAAUAGAAAUGCAUCUGCUGAGACCAAGACAACCGUGAGAGAGAUUGGCAAAGAUGACAUUCAUAAAGCCCCCUAAAACAACCACAAGGACAAGGCUCAGCUCUGACCAUGGGCAUGGCCUUCCCCUAGGCACUGCAAGUUUUAACUAUCUGAUAGACCAUAAAGCACAAAGCCACCAGGUAUUACUGCUUCUUGCUCUCUCCACCUUUGAGCCUGAAAUGAAACUGAAGAUUGAGAGAGAGGUCGAGCUGGAAGAGAGAAGCAAUAGAGUCGUUGCAUCAUGUAAGUCCCAGCCUAAAACAGGUGCCAGCUGGUUGAGGGGUUAAGUUGCGUGUUAAAUCAGAUUUGGAGUUUUCACUGCUCUAUCAGACUAAACAUUCUGGUGACUGAAUCCAGCCUGUGUUUUAGUUGAAAGUAAUAGUCAGAUCUCCUUUUACCUAAUAAUGAGAGGAAAGCAGAGAAAGCUGUCUAAGUGUACCUUCCAGGGACAAGGGGAGGUUAUAUAUUCUCCCACUAUCUCAUUAAACUUCAUUCAGUGCGCACACACCAUGCUUGUCAACAUAUUGGUCACAUCUUUAUUACCCAUUCAAUCACCCUGAUGUUUGGCAGAAAGUACUAUCCAGAUGUUGGAAAGGAGAAGAGAAACACAGAGGUUAAGACACCUUAGCAAAUUAAUAACUGAUAGAGCUAGAACAUAGCUGGCUUAUGUUUCUUAAGGUUUAUUCUUUAAAUCAUUAGACUAACUCUCCUAAAUUAAAAAAAAUUAUCUGUUAAGUACCUCCUAUAUGCCAGGAAUGGUGUUAAUGGCUUCACAUAUGUGAUUAUAUUGUUUAUUUCUUAUGUAAAACAUGAAUUAGAUACUUUCCUUUUAUCUAUAGGAGGAAACUGAGAUGAAGGGAGUGUCCCCAACUAGUCUGAAAUUACAUGGGUAGCUCUUGACUGCCUGUUCAUUAAAAGAGAAAAACAGAAAGGGACUGUGAGAGAGAGAAAGAUAUUAAUUUCUCCCUUUUCUUCUCAAAUAAUUCAUAUCUUUGCUAAAAUGAAAUACUUAUGAAGGUCCUCCUAAUUAUAUUGACAGUAGUAGUCACCAAAAACAACACAACAUAAUUAUUAGCUGGACAUGGUCUCAUGAAGAGGUACCCUGAAUACAGAAAGAGAAAACUAACAGUCAUGACAACCUUAACCAAUAAUGAAAUGACGAACUCUGCAUUACACACUCUUAAGUGAAACUGUAACAUUAGAGAGAGGGCUUCACUCUCCUAUUUCCAGGAAUAUCCAGAGAAGUCUUCAUGGAAAAGGUGAGUCAUUAAUCAUAGUUUUAUUUAAACAGUUCAAGGACAACAACAACAAAGAGCAUCCAGGUUUUGUGGAUGGUGGUGGCAACAAUAGCAAAAUUACAGGACUGGGAAUAAAUAUAACCAACAAAAGGAGAGAGCAGGGAAAGAGUUUUCUUUUAGAAAGGCUGCUAUUUCUAGAAGAGUGGGACAUAUACUGUGGCUCUGUUAUUUAUGCAGAGAGCUGAAGUCAGGCUGAUGGAUGUGAACAUGAUAUGGUGGUAAAGGAGAAUCCACGGCAGGUUCUUCAUUAAGUGAUUAACCAACAAUGAAAGAUAAGUUUCCAAAAUAGGAGUUCCCACUGUGGUGAAAUGGGAUCAAAAUGGAAUCAGCAGGGUCUUGGGAGUGCUGGGACACAGGUUCGAUUCCCUGCCCAGCACAGUGGGUUAAGGAUCCAGCAUUGUCACAGCUGUGGCUUAGGUCACAACUACGGGGCAG
RNAcentral lists this long non-coding RNA (6448 nucleotides) under Sus scrofa (pig). RNAcentral's name for it is "lncRNA (ENSSSCG00000057367.1)". The record is from RNAcentral. Lineage: Eukaryota; Metazoa; Chordata; Mammalia; Artiodactyla; Suidae.